Molecule: non-coding RNA, 187 nt
Organism: Podarcis muralis (Common wall lizard)
Lineage: Eukaryota; Metazoa; Chordata; Lepidosauria; Squamata; Lacertidae
Source: RefSeq, a predicted model, not a curated record
GACUAGUUGGUGAGUAUAGCACUGUAGUGGGCCCUGCAUGCUCUUCUAUAUGCAGGCUAAAUACUGAAACCCGACCUUUUUGCCUCGCUCUGAAUUACUGUUAAAAGCCUUCUGGAGUAGCAGAUGAGAAGGACAGGCUGGUGCUACAGUGGGUCAUCCCACCAUUCCCCAACCUGAUGUAGCACGG